AGUCGAACGAGAAUCUCUUCGGAGAGGACAGUGGCGCACGGGUGCGUAACACGUGGAUAACCAACCCCCUGGUUCGGGACAACACUGGGAAACCGGUGCUAAUACCGUAUGUGACGCACAGAUCGUCAGGUUUGUGCGAGAAAGGCACGCAAGGGUCGCCAGGGGACGGGUCCGCGUCCCAUCAGCUUGUUGGUGAGGUAAUGGCUCACCAAGGCUAAGACGGGUAGCUGGUCUGAGAGGAUGAUCAGCCACACUGGAACUGAGACACGGUCCAGACUCCUACGGGAGGCAGCAGUGGGGAAUAUUGCGCAAUGGGCGAAAGCCUGACGCAGCCACGCCGCGUGAGCGAUGAAGGUCCUAGGAUCGUAAAGCUCUGUGGAGGGAGAAGAACAAAGCCGGUGAAGAGCCGGCCCUGACGGUAUCCCUUUAGCAAGCACCGGCUAACUCCGUGCCAGCUGCC
This 460-nucleotide ribosomal RNA is filed under the name Enhygromyxa salina. RNAcentral describes it as "bacterial SSU rRNA". It matches the Rfam family "Bacterial small subunit ribosomal RNA", at positions 60 to 516 of the family's 1533-position model. Lineage: Bacteria; Pseudomonadati; Myxococcota; Nannocystales; Nannocystaceae. The record is from RNAcentral.